GUGAAGUCAUUGAUGCCAUGCUUCCAGGAAAAGCCUCUAAGCUUCAGAUUGUAAGGAAUCGUACCCCAAACCGACACAGGUGGUCGGGUAGAGAAUACCAAGGCGCUUGAGAGAACUCGGGUGAAGGAACUAGGCAAAAUGGUACCGUAACUUCGGGAGAAGGUACGCUCUUGAUGGUGAAGUCCCUCGCGGAUGGAGCUGACGAGAGUCGCAGAUACCAGGUGGCUGCAACUGUUUAUUAAAAACACAGCACUGUGCAAAAUCGUAAGAUGACGUAUACGGUGUGACGCCUGCCCGGUGCCGGAAGGUUAAUUGAUGGGGUUAGACUUCGGUCGAAGCUCUUGAUCGAAGCCCCGGUAAACGGCGGCCGUAACUAUAACGGUCCUAAGGUAGCGAAAUUCCUUGUCGGGUAAGUUCCGACCUGCACGAAUGGCGUAAUGAUGGCCACGCUGUCUCCACCCGAGACUCAGUGAAAUUGAAAUCGCUGUGAAGAUGCAGUGUACCCGCGGCUAGACGGAAAGACCCCGUGAACCUUUACUACAGCUUGGCACUGAACAUUGACCCUACAUGUGUAGGAUAGGUGGGAGGCUUUGAAGCACGUACGCCAGUAUGUGUGGAGCCGUCCUUGAAAUACCACCCUUGUAGUGUUGAUGUUCUAACGUCGACCCCUAAUCGGGGUUGCGGACAGUGCCUGGUGGGUAGUUUGACUGGGGCGGUCUCCUCCCAAAGAGUAACGGAGGAGCACGAAGGUGGGCUAAUCACGGUUGGACAUCGUGAGGUUAGUGCAAUGGCAUAAGCCCGCUUGACUGCGAGAAUGACAAUUCGAGCAGGUGCGAAAGCAGGUCAUAGUGAUCCGGUGGUUCUGAAUGGAAGGGCCAUCGCUCAACGGAUAAAAGGUACUCCGGGGAUAACAGGCUGAUACCGCCCAAGAGUUCAUAUCGACGGCGGUGUUUGGCACCUCGAUGUCGGCUCAUCACAUCCUGGGGCUGAAGUCGGUCCCAAGGGUAUGGCUGUUCGCCAUUUAAAGUGGUACGCGAGCUGGGUUUAGAACGUCGUGAGACAGUUCGGUCCCUAUCUGCCGUGGGCGUUGGAAGAUUGAAGGGGGCUGCUCCUAGUACGAGAGGACCGGAGUGGACGAACCUCUGGUGUUCGGGUUGUGUCGCCAGACGCAUUGCCCGGUAGCUAAGUUCGGAAUCGAUAACCGCUGAAAGCAUCUAAGCGGGAAGCGAGCCCUGAGAUGAGUCUUCCCUGAUACUUUAAGUAUCCUAAAGGGUUGUCGGAGACUACGACGUUGAUAGGUCAGGUGUGUAAGUGCUGUGAGGCAUUGAGCUAACUGAUACUAAUUGCCCGUGAGGCUUAACCAU
This 1364-nucleotide ribosomal RNA is filed under the name Vibrio parahaemolyticus VPCR-2009. Its description in RNAcentral is "bacterial LSU rRNA". It matches the Rfam family "Bacterial large subunit ribosomal RNA", at positions 1585 to 2925 of the family's 2925-position model. The record is from RNAcentral. Lineage: Bacteria; Pseudomonadati; Pseudomonadota; Gammaproteobacteria; Vibrionales; Vibrionaceae.